RNAcentral lists this ribosomal RNA (965 nucleotides) under uncultured Pseudomonadota bacterium. Its description in RNAcentral is "bacterial SSU rRNA". It matches the Rfam family "Bacterial small subunit ribosomal RNA", at positions 55 to 1065 of the family's 1533-position model. Lineage: Bacteria; Pseudomonadati; Pseudomonadota. The record is from RNAcentral.
AUGCAAGUCGAACGCAGUAGCAAUACUGAGUGGCAGACGGGUGAGUAACAUGUGGGAAUCUGCCUUGUGGUUCAGGACAACAUUGGGAAACCGAUGCUAAUACUGGAUAAGCCCUUACGGGGAAAGUUUUAAUGCCAUAAGAUGAGCCCGCAUUUGAUUAGUUAGUUGGUGAGGUAAUGGCUCACCAAGACAAUGAUCAAUAGCUGAUCUGAGAGGAUGAUCAGCCACACUGGGACUGAGACACGGCCCAGACUCCUACGGGAGGCAGCAGUGGGGAAUCUUGCACAAUGGAGGAAACUCUGAUGCAGCGAUGCCGCGUGAGUGAAGAAGGCCUUUGGGUUGUAAAGCUCUUUUGUAGGGGAAGAUAAUGACUGUACCCUAAGAAUAAGGUCCGGCUAACUUCGUGCCAGCAGCCGCGGUAAUACGAAGGGACCUAGCGUAGUUCGGAAUUACUGGGCGUAAAGCGCGCGUAGGCCGUUGAGUUAGUUAAUUGUGAAAUCCCAAAGCUUAACUUUGGAACUGCAAUUAAAACUGCUCGACUAGAGUUUGAUAGAGGAAAGCGGAAUACAUAGUGUAGAGGUGAAAUUCGUAGAUAUUAUGUAGAACACCAGUUGCGAAGGCGGCUUUCUGGAUCAACACUGACGCUGAGGCGCGAAAGUAUGGAUAGCAAAGAGGAUUAGAUACCCUCGUAGUCCAUACCAUAAACGAUGAUUGCUAGAUGUUGGAAAUUUAUUUUCAGUAUCGCAGCUAACGCAUUAAGCAAUCCGCCUGGGGAGUACGACCGCAAGGUUAAAACUCAAAUGAAUUGACGGGGACCCGCACAAGCGGUGGAGCAUGUGGUUUAAUUCGAAGAUACGCGCAGAACCUUACCAACCCUUGACAUGUCUGUCGCGAGUUUAGGAAACUAGACUUUUCGGUUCGGCCGGACAGAACACAGGUGCUGCAUGGCUGUCGUCAGCUCGUGU